RNAcentral lists this transfer RNA (65 nucleotides) under Niponiella limbatella. RNAcentral's name for it is "tRNA-Pro". It matches the Rfam family "tRNA". Rfam says of the family: Transfer RNA (tRNA) molecules are approximately 80 nucleotides in length. Their secondary structure includes four short double-helical elements and three loops (D, anti-codon, and T loops). Further hydrogen bonds mediate the characteristic L-shaped molecular structure. tRNAs have two regions of fundamental functional importance: the anti-codon, which is responsible for specific mRNA codon recognition, and the 3' end, to which the tRNAs corresponding amino acid is attached (by aminoacyl-tRNA synthetases). tRNAs cope with the degeneracy of the genetic code in two manners: having more than one tRNA (with a specific anti-codon) for a particular amino acid; and 'wobble' base-pairing, i.e. permitting non-standard base-pairing at the 3rd anti-codon position. Lineage: Eukaryota; Metazoa; Arthropoda; Insecta; Plecoptera; Perlidae. The record is from RNAcentral.
CAGAGAAUAGUUUAAGUAAAAUUUUAGUUUUGGAGACUAGUGAUAGGGGUAAUCUCUUUCUCUGA